Molecule: ribosomal RNA, 465 nt
Filed under: Vreelandella stevensii
Lineage: Bacteria; Pseudomonadati; Pseudomonadota; Gammaproteobacteria; Oceanospirillales; Halomonadaceae
Description: partial 16S ribosomal RNA
Rfam family: Bacterial small subunit ribosomal RNA
Source: RNAcentral
CCUACGGGUGGCAGCAGUGGGGAAUAUUGGACAAUGGGCGAAAGCCUGAUCCAGCCAUGCCGCGUGUGUGAAGAAGGCCUUCGGGUUGUAAAGCACUUUCAGUGGGGAAGAAAGCCUUGGGGCUAAUACCCUCGAGGAAGGACAUCACCCACAGAAGAAGCACCGGCUAACUCCGUGCCAGCAGCCGCGGUAAUACGGAGGGUGCGAGCGUUAAUCGGAAUUACUGGGCGUAAAGCGCGCGUAGGCGGUCUGAUAAGCCGGUUGUGAAAGCCCCGGGCUCAACCUGGGAACGGCAUCCGGAACUGUCAGGCUAGAGUGCAGGAGAGGAAGGUAGAAUUCCCGGUGUAGCGGUGAAAUGCGUAGAGAUCGGGAGGAAUACCAGUGGCGAAGGCGGCCUUCUGGACUGACACUGACGCUGAGGUGCGAAAGCGUGGGUAGCAAACAGGAUUAGAUAACCUGGUAGUC